This 144-nucleotide unclassified non-coding RNA is filed under the name uncultured Helotiales. Its description in RNAcentral is "sequence contains ITS2". The record is from RNAcentral. Lineage: Eukaryota; Fungi; Ascomycota; Leotiomycetes; Helotiales.
UGACCAAUCCAGCCCGGCUGGGUGUUGGGCCUCGCCGUCACAGCGGGCCUUAAAAUUAGUGGCAGUGCUCUUAGGCUCUACGCGUAGUAAAUUUUCUCGCUAUGGAGUUCUGGGAGAUGCUUGCCAUCAAUCCCAAUUUUCUUA